Molecule: ribosomal RNA, 433 nt
Filed under: uncultured bacterium
Lineage: Bacteria
Description: partial 16S ribosomal RNA
Rfam family: Bacterial small subunit ribosomal RNA
Source: RNAcentral
AACGAACGCUGGCGGCAUGCCUAACACAUGCAAGUCGAACGAGACCUUCGGGUCUAGUGGCGCACGGGUGCGUAACGCGUGGGAACCUGCCCUUAGGUUCGGAAUAACUCCCCGAAAGGGGUGCUAAUACCGGAUAAUGUCUUCGGACCAAAGAUUUAUCGCCUUUGGAUGGGCCCGCGUUGGAUUAGCUAGUUGGUAGGGUAAAAGCCUACCAAGGCGACGAUCCAUAGCUGGUCUGAGAGGAUGAUCAGCCACACUGGGACUGAGACACGGCCCAGACUCCUACGGGAGGCAGCAGUGGGGAAUAUUGGACAAUGGGCGAAAGCCUGAUCCAGCAAUGCCACGUGAGUGAUGAAGGCCUUAGGGUUGUAAAGCUCUUUUACCCGGGAUGAUAAUGACAGAACCGGGAGAAUAAGCUCCGGCUAACUCCGUG